Molecule: ribosomal RNA, 434 nt
Filed under: uncultured bacterium
Lineage: Bacteria
Description: bacterial SSU rRNA
Rfam family: Bacterial small subunit ribosomal RNA
Source: RNAcentral
AACGAACGCUGGCGGCAGGCCUAACACAUGCAAGUCGAGCGAACCCUUCGGGGUUAGCGGCGGACGGGUUAGUAACGCGUGGGAAUAUACCCUUUGGUACGGAAUAGCCUCGGGGAAACUGAGAGUAAUACCGUAUGUGCCCCUCGGGGGAAAGAUUUAUCGCCAAAGGAUUAGCCCGCGUUGGAUUAGAUAGUUGGUGGGGUAAUGGCCUACCAAGUCUACGAUCCAUAGCUGGUUUGAGAGGAUGAUCAGCAACACUGGGACUGAGACACGGCCCAGACUCCUACGGGAGGCAGCAGUGGGGAAUCUUAGACAAUGGGCGCAAGCCUGAUCUAGCCAUGCCGCGUGGACGAUGAAGGCCUUAGGGUUGUAAAGUCCUUUCAGAUGGGAAGAUAAUGACGGUACCAUCAGAAGAAGCCCCGGNUAACUCCGUG